Molecule: non-coding RNA, 447 nt
Organism: Penaeus vannamei (Pacific white shrimp)
Lineage: Eukaryota; Metazoa; Arthropoda; Malacostraca; Decapoda; Penaeidae
Source: RefSeq, a predicted model, not a curated record
CUUCAGUCGUGUGCUCAAGGACGGCGCCGAGAUGGAGUUCGCCCCUCGGUCCUCGGCGAAGAAGGUCGGCGGAGCUUCCCGGGAACACCGUCGCCUCCACCAUCUACAUCGACGGCGUCUCCUUCAGCGACAACGGCCACUACGUCUGCUACAUCCCCGGCGCCUCCAAGGACAUCCUUAAUCCAAUAUCGAAGGUCGACCUCCAAGGUUAUUAGGGGUAACAGGAGGAAACUUUUUCGAGGACGAGCCACUCACACUCCGCUGUUCCACGCAAUACGCCAAGCAUAAUCAGAGACCGCCCGUCACGUGGAACUUCGAGGGCCUGCCGCUGGACCCCCGCGGGUACGAGUCCCGGGUCGAGCAGAACGAGUACAACGUGACGGUCCACGAGCUGGUCAUCCCCGUGGGGAGGUCCCACCACUCGGGCUCCUACGAGUGCGUGACGGC